Molecule: ribosomal RNA, 220 nt
Filed under: Cronobacter malonaticus 507
Lineage: Bacteria; Pseudomonadati; Pseudomonadota; Gammaproteobacteria; Enterobacterales; Enterobacteriaceae
Description: Large Subunit Ribosomal RNA; lsuRNA; LSU rRNA
Rfam family: Bacterial large subunit ribosomal RNA
Source: RNAcentral
GCGUGAUGACGAGGCACCACGGUGCUGAAGUGACAAAUGCCCUGCUUCCAGGAAAAGCCUCUAAGCAUCAGGUAACAUUAAAUCGUACCCCAAACCGACACAGGUGGUCAGGUAGAGAAUACCAAGGCGCUUGAGAGAACUCGGGUGAAGGAACUAGGCAAAAUGGUGCCGUAACUUCGGGAGAAGGCACGCUGACAUGUAGGUGAAGCCCCUGCGGGUG